GCCCCUCGCGGAACCCCGGCCUGUGCGCAGUUCCCGUGCCCUAGGAGUUGGCGGCGGGGCCCAGCCGAGGUAUAAGUUCCACAGCUUCACCCUUGUCGGUGUGAUAUGGGCGUGAAAGAAGACAUAAAACAGGCUUCCCGAGUAGAACCUGCCACCCCGGGCUGGUGGGGACGCGGCACCAGGCCGGGCCGGGGGAAGCCGCUCGGACAGUGGUCCUUGGAAUCUUCUUCCCUUCUGGUCUGACUAGGAAAGCCAGAGGGAGAUGGUGAAGGAGACACAGAGAGAGUAAAAGAACAGACCAUGCCCAGCCUCUCCACUGCAGGAGCUUGGAAUCAGUGAAGCAGAGUUGCCAGCCAUCUAUGGAUCCUAACUAAAUUGGUCCUUGUAAUACUCGGUAUUAUUUGCCAAGAUAUUGAAAAACCUCUAAACAGUGAGAAGGGUUUGAGAAACAUCACAGAAUUUAAACACGGGAAACCAAUAUAAAAACCCUCUCAUGCAAAGAAACAGUGCGGCUGACUGUACAUUGUUUCUAUUCAUGGCUCGCUAGUUUUACAUUUUCUGAUCAGUUACUGCCACUGAGACCAAGAAACCAGCUUCUUCAAGAGCAUCCAUAGACUGUCUGAAGGCCUUGCAUUAUUGAUUUUCUGCUCAUAGAUUCCAGUUGCUGUCAAUCAUGGGCCAGAUAUACAAGAUGGCAGUUAAUAAGCAAAAGGACGGAGCUCCCAUGAAGACAACAAAAUAAUUCAGGAGAUCUGACUGAAACAGAAAAUGCUAAAAUCCUCAAGAGAAAAGAAAUCAGAUAAGCCUUCCUGGAAAGAAAAGUCCAUGGUCAAACAAAAUGACAUGUUAUCUUUGUAAGGGAGUAUAUUCCUGCCAGGUAUGUCUGGAAUUUGUUCACCAAAUUAAUUAAUUGAUGAAAACAUUUAUUAAGUUUCUGUUAGGCAACAUUAUCGGCAGUGAGGACACAGUGAGGAAUACUGUUCUGCUUCUAUUGGAUAGAAACUUAUAGUGUAAACAUGUAAUUACAAGAAAAUGUGCUAAGCACUGUAGUACAGGUAAGUACAGAUGGCUUUGUGAGUAUAGAGGAGGGAGAUUCAACAGCCUGGGGUGUGGGUGUCAGGGAAGAUUUUACAUGUGACAGUUGAGUUGCAUCUUGAAGAAUGCUUAGGAGCUCUAUAAGCAAAGGGAGUGGGGCUACGUCAGGCUGAGGACCUAGCAUGUGGUAAAAACCCAACACUUGCGCGUUCUUAUUAAUUCAAAUUUAAUGGACAUAUAAAUUAUUGAACAAGGCAUUCUUUAAACUAGAGAUAUGAACUGAACACCCUGCUAUGUUGGUUUUAAACUAUUUGAUGAUUUUUGCCUCAUCCUAUAUCAGCUGUAAUCCCACAGUGUCUAACUCGUGCUUUGGUCAAAGAAACUGCUCAAUAAAUAUUUGUUAAUGGAUUGAUUA
RNAcentral lists this long non-coding RNA (1450 nucleotides) under Homo sapiens (human). Its description in RNAcentral is "long intergenic non-protein coding RNA 1725". The record is from RNAcentral. Lineage: Eukaryota; Metazoa; Chordata; Mammalia; Primates; Hominidae.